RNAcentral lists this small nucleolar RNA (78 nucleotides) under Canis lupus familiaris (dog). RNAcentral describes it as "Small nucleolar RNA SNORD113/SNORD114 family (ENSCAFG00000022294.2, ENSCAFG00030005728.1, ENSCAFG00040001670.1, ENSCAFG00805009659.1)". It matches the Rfam family "Small nucleolar RNA SNORD113/SNORD114 family". From Rfam's summary of the family: The imprinted human domain at 14q32 contains two clusters of tandemly repeated small nucleolar RNAs named 14q(I) and 14q(II) snoRNAs. These two clusters are named SNORD113 and SNORD114 respectively in the HGNC approved gene symbol nomenclature. Lineage: Eukaryota; Metazoa; Chordata; Mammalia; Carnivora; Canidae. The record is from RNAcentral. RNAcentral also lists the same sequence under 2 other names.
UGGACCAAUGAUGAUGACUGGUGGCGUAUGAGUCAUGGAUGAUGAUGAAUAACAUGUGUCUGAAACUCUGAGGUCCAA